Molecule: ribosomal RNA, 232 nt
Filed under: uncultured bacterium
Lineage: Bacteria
Description: partial 16S ribosomal RNA
Rfam family: Bacterial small subunit ribosomal RNA
Source: RNAcentral
AGUAACACGUGGGUAACCUGCCCAUCAGAGGGGGAUAACAUUCGGAAACGGAUGCUAAAACCGCAUAGGUCCUUUAACCGCAUGGUUGAAGGAGGAAAAGAGGCGCAAGCUUCUGCUGAUGGAUGGACCCGCGGUGCAUUAGCUAGUUGGUGAGGUAACGGUUCACCAAGGCCGUGAUGCAUAGCCGACCUGAGAGGGUGAUCGGCCACAUUGGGACUGAGACACGGCCCAA